Molecule: ribosomal RNA, 273 nt
Filed under: uncultured bacterium
Lineage: Bacteria
Description: partial 16S ribosomal RNA
Rfam family: Bacterial small subunit ribosomal RNA
Source: RNAcentral
ACUCCUACGGGAGGCAGCAGUGGGGAAUAUUGGACAAUGGGCGAAAGCCUGAUCCAGCCAUGCCGCGUGUGUGAAGAAGGCCUUCGGGUUGUAAAGCACUUUCAGUGAGGAAGAAAGCCUUGAGGUUAAUACCCUCGAGGGAGGACAUCACUCACAGAAGAAGCACCGGCUAACUCCGUGCCAGCAGCCGCGGUAAUACGGAGGGUGCGAGCGUUAAUCGGAAUUACUGGGCGUAAAGCGCGCGUAGGCGGCUUGAUAAGCCGGUUGUGAAAG